RNAcentral lists this ribosomal RNA (802 nucleotides) under uncultured bacterium. RNAcentral's name for it is "bacterial SSU rRNA". It matches the Rfam family "Bacterial small subunit ribosomal RNA", at positions 8 to 796 of the family's 1533-position model. The record is from RNAcentral.
AGAGUUUGAUCAUGGCUCAGGACGAACGCUGGCGGCGUGCUUAACACAUGCAAGUGGUGCGACGAACCAGGGCUUGCCCUGGGGCAAAGCCGCGAACGGGUGAGUAACACGUGGGUAACCUGCCCCGAUGACCGGGACAACUCGAGGAAACUCGGGCUAAUACCGGAUGUGGCGCACAGGCUCAAGCCUGUGCGCUAAAGGAAGCUUCGNNCUCCGCAUUGGGAGGGGCCCGCGGCCCAUUAGCUAGUUGGUGGGGUCAAGGCCCACCAAGGCGACGAUGGGUAGCUGGUCUGAGAGGACGAUCAGCCACACUGGGACUGAGACACGGCCCAGACUCCUACGGGAGGCAGCAGUGGGGAAUCUUGCGCAAUGCGCGAAAGCGUGACGCAGCAACGCCGCGUGGGGGAAGAAGGCCUUCGGGUUGUAAACCCCUUUCAGGAGGGACGAAGGUUCGCCGGUGAAUAGCCGUGCGGAUUGACGGUACCUCCAGAAGAAGCUCCGGCUAACUACGUGCCAGCAGCCGCGGUAAUACGUAGGGGGCAAGCGUUGUCCGGAAUCAUUGGGCGUAAAGCGCGCGUAGGCGGCCCUGUAAGUCUGCUGUGAAAGUCAAAGGCUCAACCUUUGAAAGCCGGUGGAUACUGCGGGGCUAGAGUCCGGAAGAGGCGAGUGGAAUUCCUGGUGUAGCGGUGGAAUGCGCAGAUAUCAGGAGGAACACCAAUAGCGAAGGCAGCUCGCUGGGACGGUACUGACGCUAAGGCGCGAAAGCGUGGGGAGCGAACAGGAUUAGAUACCCUAGUAGUCC